Molecule: ribosomal RNA, 468 nt
Filed under: uncultured bacterium
Lineage: Bacteria
Description: partial 16S ribosomal RNA
Rfam family: Bacterial small subunit ribosomal RNA
Source: RNAcentral
GACGAACGCUGGCGGCGUGCUUAACACAUGCGAGUCGAACGGAAAGGCCCUGCUUUUGUGGGGUGCUCGAGUGGCGAACGGGCGAGUAACACGUGAGUAACCUGCCCUUGACUUUGGGAUAACUUCAGGAAACUGGGGCUAAUACCGGAUAGGAGCUCCUGCUGCAUGGUGGGGGUUGGAAAGUUUCGGCGGUUGGGGAUGGACUCGCGGCUUAUCAGCUUGUUGGUGGGGUAGUGGCUUACCAAGGCUUUGACGGGUAGCCGGCCUGAGAGGGUGACCGGCCACAUUGGGACUGAGAUACGGCCCAGACUCCUACGGGAUGCAGCAGUGGGGAAUAUUGCACAAUGGGCGGAAGCCUGAUGCAGCAACGCCGCGUGCGGGAUGACGGCCUUCGGGUUGUAAACCGCUUUCGCCUGUGACGAAGCGUGAGUGACGGUAAUGGGUAAAGAAGCACCGGCUAACUACGUG